RNAcentral lists this transfer RNA (87 nucleotides) under Alphaproteobacteria bacterium. Its description in RNAcentral is "tRNA-Ser". It matches the Rfam family "tRNA". From Rfam's summary of the family: Transfer RNA (tRNA) molecules are approximately 80 nucleotides in length. Their secondary structure includes four short double-helical elements and three loops (D, anti-codon, and T loops). Lineage: Bacteria; Pseudomonadati; Pseudomonadota; Alphaproteobacteria. The record is from RNAcentral.
GCCGGGGUAGUCCAGCCAGGCAAGACGCGUGCUUCGAGAGCAUGUUCCCGAAAGGGAUCGGGAGUUCGAAUCUCCCUCCCGGCGCCA